This 45-nucleotide non-coding RNA is filed under the name Schistosoma margrebowiei. The record is from RNAcentral. Lineage: Eukaryota; Metazoa; Platyhelminthes; Trematoda; Strigeidida; Schistosomatidae.
UUCCAACUGAUGAGUCCCAAAUAAGACGAAUCGCGCGUCCUGUAU